RNAcentral lists this ribosomal RNA (253 nucleotides) under uncultured bacterium. Its description in RNAcentral is "partial 16S ribosomal RNA". It matches the Rfam family "Bacterial small subunit ribosomal RNA", at positions 524 to 776 of the family's 1533-position model. The record is from RNAcentral.
UACGUGGGGGGCAAGCGUUGUCCGGAAUCAUUGGGCGUAAAGCGCGUGUAGGCGGCUUUGCAAGUCGGGUGUGAAAGCCCUCGGCUCAACCGAGGAAGUGCGCCCGAAACUGCAGAGCUUGAGUACCGGAGAGGAUGGCGGAAUUCCCCAAGUAGAGGUGAAAUUCGUAGAUAUGGGGAGGAACACCGGUGGCGAAGGCGGCCAUCUGGACGGAUACUGACGCUGAGACGCGAAAGCGUGGGGAGCAAACAGG